AGCAGUAGCCGCGGGAAUACGUAGGUGGCAAGCGUUGUCCGGAAUUAUUGGGCGUAAAGCGCGCGCAGGCGGAUCGGUCAGUCUGUCUUAAAAGUUCGGGGCUUAACCCCGUGAUGGGAUGGAAACUGCCAAUCUAGAGUAUCGGAGAGGAAAGUGGAAUUCCUAGUGUAGCGGUGAAAUGCGUAGAUAUUAGGAAGAACACCAGUGGCGAAGGCGACUUUCUGGACGAAAACUGACGCUGAGGCGCGAAAGCCAGGGGAGCGAACGGGAUUAGAUACCCCAGUAGUCCCUGUCUCUUAUACC
RNAcentral lists this ribosomal RNA (303 nucleotides) under uncultured bacterium. Its description in RNAcentral is "partial 16S ribosomal RNA". It matches the Rfam family "Bacterial small subunit ribosomal RNA", at positions 507 to 808 of the family's 1533-position model. The record is from RNAcentral.